RNAcentral lists this ribosomal RNA (492 nucleotides) under uncultured bacterium. RNAcentral's name for it is "partial 16S ribosomal RNA". It matches the Rfam family "Bacterial small subunit ribosomal RNA", at positions 29 to 507 of the family's 1533-position model. The record is from RNAcentral.
AGUGAACGCUGGCGGUAGGCCUAACACAUGCAAGUCGAACGGCAGCACAGUAAGAGCUUGCUCUUACGGGUGGCGAGUGGCGGACGGGUGAGGAAUACAUCGGAAUCUACUUUUUCGUGGGGGAUAACGUAGGGAAACUUACGCCAAUACCGCAUACGACCUACGGGUGAAAGCAGGGGAUCUUCGGACCUUGCGCGAUUGAAUGAGCCGAUGUCGGAUUAGCUAGUUGGCGGGGUAAAGGCCCACCAAGGCGACGAUCCGUAGCUGGUCUGAGAGGAUGAUCAGCCACACUGGAACUGAGACACGGUCCAGACUCCUACGGGAGGCAGCAGUGGGGAAUAUUGGACAAUGGGCGCAAGCCUGAUCCAGCCAGACCGCGUGGGUGAAGAAGGCCUUCGGGUUGUAAAGCCCUUUUGUUGGGAAAGAAAAGCAGCAGGUUAAUACCCCGCUGUUCUGACGGUACCCAAAGAAUAAGCACCGGCUAACUUCGUG